GCUGGGCAUGGUGGCGCGUGCCUGUAAUCCCCGCUACUCAGGAGGCUGAGGCAGAGAAAUCGCUUGAACCCGGGAGGUGGAGGUUGCGGUGAGCCAAGAUCUCGCCACUGCAACCUCCAGCCCGGGUGACAAGAGAGAGACUCCAUCUCAA
Unclassified non-coding RNA from Callithrix jacchus (white-tufted-ear marmoset), 151 nucleotides. It matches the Rfam family "Metazoan signal recognition particle RNA". From Rfam's summary of the family: The signal recognition particle (SRP) is a universally conserved ribonucleoprotein. It is involved in the co-translational targeting of proteins to membranes. The record is from Ensembl. NCBI's taxonomy places the organism in Eukaryota, Metazoa, Chordata, Mammalia, Primates, Cebidae.